Long non-coding RNA from Styela clava, 347 nucleotides. RefSeq lists it as uncharacterized. Lineage: Eukaryota; Metazoa; Chordata; Ascidiacea; Stolidobranchia; Styelidae. The record is from RefSeq and is a predicted model, not a curated record.
UCUUGUAGUUUAUGGUUAUUAUAUUCUCAAAAUUUAUUUAGCUACAUCAUAACAAGGUAUUGAUUUAGUGUUUUAUAACCUUGAAAUAUGGAUUCUAGAAACAAUGCUAUAAGACUGUUGUUUUUGCUGGUAAUUUCAAUGAUAAUAUUGCUACAAGCUUUACAUGAAGGAAAUGCACGUUUAGGAAGAUUUAAAGAGCAGUUUGCAAUGAAAGGAUAAUGAGGAUAUCCAAGAAUAAUGGGGCUUCUGGGUGAAUUUCAAAAUAAAGAUGGAAACCUAUAAUAUACAAACCUUUUUUGGAAGAUGUCAUAUAUACACAUAAUAAAAGCUGAAGCCAAAUUUGAAAA